ACAAACGUGUUCUCGCCUAGGAGCGUCUCUUCACUGGGAAACGGCCGAACCGCGGCUCCACUGCGGACUGCGGAGGGGCCCCCAGGUCAAACGCAGCCAACUUGGAGCUCAGGGUGCCAGGCGAGCUGAGACGAGCUGGCCUCAGGCUGGAGCCUCGGUCUGAGUCCUAGACGCAGGCUGCUUGCCCAGGUCUCUUUGUUAACCUCCUGACAUCGCGCCCCCUCGUGGGGGCGUCUACUCAGGCCGGCUUCGCUCAGCUACCCUUAAGAAACAGUUUCCCAGUCCUUUACCUCGACUACAAGAUGGCCUCCCAAAAGAAGCUGGAUCUACUUCAGCGUGACACAGGCUAGAGUGAGAGGACAGGAAGGAGCCUCAGCUGAGAAAAUGCCUCCAGAAGAUUCGCCUGUACAAGUCUAUCGGACAUGUUCAACUUGGUAACUGGCUAAAGAUUCCAGACCGACAGCUAUCAAAGGAGGGUAUAAAAGACAAGUGUGUGAAACAGAGUGUAAGAAGUGAGCCUGGACAUUUAGUAACUCAGCUCUGUUCGGGCUCUGGAAAAUCGCAGCUGCUGAGAGGUCAUGGUGCAAAGCAUCCAACAAAUGGUGCAGAAGCUCCUGGCUGUCUUGUUGCUGGAAACCUUUAAAUCGUGGCGCCCUAGGAUUAAAAAGAAAGAGAAGAGGGAUACUCAUUCCUUGGAUCAUGAGCAACAUAGCAGUCUUACGCAAGAUCAUCGUGGAAUAAGCUACAGUCAGCUCAUUGCUUCUCAACCGAACAGACGAAACGCUCUUCCUGCCCUAGUAGAAACAAGCUCAUGGGGAGUGCACUGAGAACAAAAUGGCUGCCUUUCGUUAGCAUAUCACAGCCAGUACUAACAGUCGCACACCUUUCAACUCCUUUAUCCCUAAUGGCACUGAAUGAGGGACCAGAAAAGUUGUUAAACUAAUACACUAAGUCAUACAGCCAGCAAGAAAAAAAAGCACUCAGAUCCAAGCUCUGCAAUUUCCCUUCUUACCUCAAAGAAUAAAAAGAUUAAGAUAUAGUCUGCAUCUUACU
Molecule: long non-coding RNA, 1053 nt
Organism: Psammomys obesus (fat sand rat)
Lineage: Eukaryota; Metazoa; Chordata; Mammalia; Rodentia; Muridae
Exons: 5
Source: RefSeq, a predicted model, not a curated record